RNAcentral lists this non-coding RNA (95 nucleotides) under uncultured Nocardiopsis sp. RNAcentral describes it as "TPP riboswitch (THI element)". It matches the Rfam family "TPP riboswitch aptamer (THI element)", at positions 10 to 89 of the family's 105-position model. Rfam says of the family: Vitamin B(1) in its active form thiamin pyrophosphate (TPP) is an essential coenzyme that is synthesised by coupling of pyrimidine and thiazole moieties in bacteria. The previously detected thiamin-regulatory element, thi box was extended, resulting in a new, highly conserved RNA secondary structure, the THI element, which is widely distributed in eubacteria and also occurs in some archaea. The record is from RNAcentral. Lineage: Bacteria; Bacillati; Actinomycetota; Actinomycetes; Streptosporangiales; Nocardiopsidaceae.
ACCGCGGGAGCCGGGUGGACCCGGCUGAGAGGGGAGCUGGGAGCUCCCGACCGCACGAACCUGAUCCGGAUCAUGCCGGCGAAGGGAGUGGAGGA